GUCUUGGUAGUAUAAAAAUUACUUUGGUCUUGUAAACCAAAAAUGAAGAAAAUUUCUUCCCAGGAC
This 66-nucleotide transfer RNA is filed under the name Rhombomys opimus (great gerbil). Its description in RNAcentral is "tRNA-Thr". Lineage: Eukaryota; Metazoa; Chordata; Mammalia; Rodentia; Muridae. The record is from RNAcentral.